Molecule: unclassified non-coding RNA, 1459 nt
Filed under: Hevea brasiliensis (rubber tree)
Lineage: Eukaryota; Viridiplantae; Streptophyta; Magnoliopsida; Malpighiales; Euphorbiaceae
Source: RNAcentral
AUUCUCUCUAGAGCAUCAGAUAUCUCGUCUUUGCUUAUCUCCUUCAGGUCACGCCUGGCUGCGAGAAUAGCUGCUUCAUUCAUGAGAUUCUGCAGAUCAGCUCCAGUGAAACCCGGGGUUCUUCUAGCAACUUUCUCAAAGUCCACAUCCUUUGCGAGUGCUUUUCCUCUCGAGUGCACCUGAAGUAUCUUGACUCUGCCAGCAACAUCCGGCCUAUCAACGGUAACUUGCCGAUCAAACCUCCCCGGGCGCAACAAUGCUGAAUCAAGAACGUCCGGCCUGUUAGUUGCAGCUAGAACAAUCACCCCACUAUUGCCCGAGAAACCAUCCAUCUCCGUCAACAGCUGGUUAAUCGUCUGCUCCCUCUCAUCAUUGCCACCCCCAAGCCCUGCUCCUCGCUGCCUCCCCACCGCAUCAAUCUCAUCAAUGAACACAAUGCAGGGUGCCUUAGACUUUGCCUUCUCGAACAAGUCCCUCACCCUAGAGGCCCCCACACCUACGAAUAGCUCGACAAAUUCCGAAGCAGCACACGAGAAGAACGGCACUCCAGCCUCUCCGGCCACAGCACGAGCAAGCAGGGUUUUCCCUGUCCCAGGCGGGCCGACCAAGAGACACCCUUUGGGGAUCUUUGCACCCAAUGCAGUAUACUUGUCAGGGUUUUUAAGGAAGUCUACAACCUCCUGAAGCUCAAGCUUAGCCUGGUCAGCACCAGCUACGUCAGCAAAGCUGACGCCGGUCUCCGGCACCUCCUGGAACUUCGACUUCGAUCGCCCAAAGUCCAUUGGGCCACCGAGCCCCCCGGGGCCGCCGCCGGGACCGCCCUGUGAUCUACGGAAGAGGUAGAACAGCCCGGCGAAAGCCAGGAAAGGGAAGAUGAGAUUGCCUAUGAAACUGAAGAGGCCAUUGCCGGUAUCACCUUCGGAGACGGAGAUGUCAACACCAUUCAUGGCAAGGAUGUCGAUGAGGUCUGGGUCGUUGGGGACUACGACGGAUGCGCGGCGGCCAUCAACUGCGGUGAGCUGGAGGAUGCCGCCGUCCUUGUUGAAGCGGACGCGCUCAACUUUGCCCUUCUUGACGGCGUUGAGGAACUCGCUGUAGCGCCACUGAGAGCCGUCGGGGAGGUCGGGGGAGGCGGCGGGUUUGGGGGCGGUGAGGGAGGAGUUGGAGAAGGGGGAGGCGGUGGGUUGAGGGGCGGGCUGGAGCUGGGGGGGAGGUGAAGGGGGAGGGGGGAGGUCGGCGGCGAUGGACGGAGCAGCGCCGGCAGCGGAGAAGAGGACGGCAGCCGCGGCGGCAGCGGCAUGGGAGGUGAGGAGGAGGGGUUUUGGGUCUUUUGACAAAUUGGGUUGCUGGGAAAUGGAGUUUUGGGAAGAUGGUCGGUGAGAUUGGGGUAGGAGGAGGCAGUGGGUGGGCUUGAUGCGGUGGAGGUAGAGGGAGGGGGUGGAUUUGGGGCGGAGCUGAG